Molecule: ribosomal RNA, 164 nt
Filed under: Coursetia maraniona
Lineage: Eukaryota; Viridiplantae; Streptophyta; Magnoliopsida; Fabales; Fabaceae
Description: 5.8S ribosomal RNA
Rfam family: 5.8S ribosomal RNA
About the family: 5.8S ribosomal RNA (5.8S rRNA) is a component of the large subunit of the eukaryotic ribosome. It is transcribed by RNA polymerase I as part of the 45S precursor that also contains 18S and 28S rRNA.
Source: RNAcentral
UACAAUGACUCUCGGCAACGGAUAUCUCGGCUCUUGCAUCGAUGAAGAACGUAGCGAAAUGCGAUACUUGGUGUGAAUUGCAGAAUCCCGUGAACCAUUGAGUCUUUGAACGCAAGUUGCGCCCGAAGCCAUUAGGCCGAGGGCACGUCUGCCUGGGUGUCACA